RNAcentral lists this unclassified non-coding RNA (334 nucleotides) under soil metagenome. RNAcentral describes it as "partial contains 5.8S ribosomal RNA, internal transcribed spacer 2, and large subunit ribosomal RNA". The stretch from base 1 to 120 matches the Rfam family "5.8S ribosomal RNA", at positions 35 to 154 of the family's 154-position model. The record is from RNAcentral.
GAUGAAGAACGUAGCGAAAUGCGAUAAUUAAUGUGAAUUGCAGAAUUUAGUGAAUCAUCGAAUCUUUGAACGCACAUUGCGCCCGCCAGCACUCUGGCGGGCAUGCCUGUUCGAGCGUCAUUUCAACCAUCAAGCCCCAGGCUUGCGUUGGAGCCCUGCGGCUGCCGCAGCCUCCUAAAAGCAGUGGCGGGCUCGCUAUCACACCGAGUGCAGUAGAUUACUCUUCGCUCAGGGCGUGCAGCGGGUUCCGGCCGUGAAACCCCCUACUUUUAAAGGUUGACCUCGGAUCAGGUAGGAAUACCCGCUGAACUUAAGCAUAUCAAUAAGCGGAGGA